GCGGGCGGGGCGGUUGGGUCCAGGCUGGGCGGGGCAGAUCCAGGUUUGGGACAGGAGUUACUUUGGUUCUGUGGUAAAGAAAGGCGUUGAACUCUCGCUGAGGAGCAUGAAACUACUAUGAUGGGUUAAAAACAAUUGUGUGCCAGCCCCAGGAUAUUAAUUAGACCAUCUGUCUAACUCUCAGAACACAAGGCUCAGUACCUGGAGAAACCUUUUACCCAUCUCUUUUGGGAAUGACGACAUGUCUUCACCGGAAAAUGCUACAGCAGAGUCUGGAGAAGAUCAGAAAGGAAAGGACUCUGAUAUGAAAAACUUGAAUAUAUCUUUGCCUGUAUCAUCUCAUGAUGACCUUCCCUCAUCAAGUCAUGAUGACCUGCAUUCAUCAAGUUAUGAAGACCUGCAUUAUUCAUCAGGUCAUGAGGACCUGCAUUCAUCAAGUCAGGAAACACCUAGACUAGUGAAUUA
Odocoileus virginianus texanus is the source of this 465-nucleotide non-coding RNA. The record is from RefSeq and is a predicted model, not a curated record. Lineage: Eukaryota; Metazoa; Chordata; Mammalia; Artiodactyla; Cervidae.